RNAcentral lists this ribosomal RNA (370 nucleotides) under uncultured Mortierellales. RNAcentral describes it as "eukaryotic LSU rRNA". The stretch from base 315 to 370 matches the Rfam family "Eukaryotic large subunit ribosomal RNA", at positions 1 to 56 of the family's 3401-position model. The record is from RNAcentral. Lineage: Eukaryota; Fungi; Mortierellomycota; Mortierellomycetes; Mortierellales.
UGCUAUAGACGUGAAUCAUCGAAUCUUUGAACGCAACUUGCACCGGGUAAAUGUAUUUAACCGGUAUACUUAUUUGAGUAUAGGAAGAUGAUGUCACAGUAUUUUAUAUUGUGAAUUUGGGAUGUGCACACACUGUGUGCUCUCCUUGAAUAUAUGAUCGAAGCAUCUGGGUAUCACUGGAGCUACACCAUUACUUGGGAUAAUGUCCCAUCAAGUGGAGGUGUGUGCAAGGAGUGGGAUAGUCACGUUGCGAUCAAAGCGAGGAAUGGCAGUGAAUGUAUCACUCACAGCCACCCUCACUGUACAACACAUACCGGUCUCAAAUUAAGUAAGAUUACCCGCUGAACUUAAGCAUAUCAAUAAGCGGAGG